This is a long non-coding RNA of Triplophysa rosa, 2184 nucleotides long. RefSeq lists it as uncharacterized. The record is from RefSeq and is a predicted model, not a curated record. The transcript is spliced from 3 exons. Lineage: Eukaryota; Metazoa; Chordata; Actinopteri; Cypriniformes; Nemacheilidae.
GUUCUGUGUUCUGGAGUGGUUGCAGCUGGCCUAUAGAAACGCUGAAUCAAUGAAGAUCACAGACUUUUUUUUACCAGAAAACUGAUUGGAAUGAAUUCUACGAAGCGAACUGCACAGAAACAUAUCGGAUUAUCUGAAAAUAACGGUACUGACGCCUCAACCCAAACCCUGAAACUAAUCUAAAUCUUGCAAAACGUAUGAAUGAAACUGUAUGAAUUAGUGUGAAACAGCCACGUCAAGGAAUAGUAAAGAAUUGUGUGAGAUUGUGUUGGAGUUUAACAUCAUAAGUCACGCUGCAGGACUGCCUUUCAAAAGCAAACAUUUCCAUCAUCAAUGCUUUUAAACGACUGUUGAUGAACACGUAAAUGACAAUCAAAGACGACAGAUUUUAGUUUUUAGGAGUCUCAAAAUUUGUCUCAGACGGCCAAAGUGUGCCGCCAAGAUCUGACAAAUUCAUUGAAAUGAUCCGCCUCAUAAAAUAGUCCCUGACUGUUGUUGUGUGUUAGAGAAAGUUGGAGAUACAGGACCCUCCCGCCGCUCUAUGAAGAAUCCCCUCUCUCUCUUUCGGGGGGACGGAUCGCCCCUCUGACCACACAAGCGAUGCUCUUCCAUGACUCACGGAUGUGAAUCACACGUGCUGCGGUCGAGUCACAAAGACACAGACGCCUCAGUUAACAGUUUGACAGAUGGAGACGCGGGUUGAAGCGCUCACACCCGCUGUGUUAAAGUGAGCUUCAAACGAAUGAAACCCUCACCUCUCCUCAGCGGUGAUUGACAGGUUUAUUCACCGAGGAAGGAAGUUCAGGCAUGCAGAAGAUGUCUAACAGCAGAGGAAUUCAACGUGACAGCCCGGGAAAAUCAUAAACGCUCUCUCUCUUUCCAUCUGUCUCGCUCUCGGAUCAACUGACCAGCUCGUCUGCACGUUAAUUAAAGGGCCAGUUCACCCAAAAAGAAAUGAUCUGCCUUCUUCACUCACUCUCAUGUGUUUGUAAAUCUGUGUGCGAGUCUUUCUUCAGUGGAACACAAUAGAAGAUAUUUCGAGAAAUGUCUCAGUGGUUUUGCGUUCUUACAAUGGAAGUCAAUGGGGUUCAGCGUUGUUUGGCUAUCGACAUUCUUCUAAAUGAUUGUUUGUUCAGAACCUCGUUCAGGUUUGACAUGACACGAGAAUGAAUAACUGAUGAAAGAAUCCUCAAAUUUGGGUGGACUGUAAAAGCGGGCGAGCGAGGAGGCACUUGGAACCAGAAAAUCGGCUUGGUUUUCCGAUCACAAUGAGACUCAAGUAGUGUGGGUGCCCAUUAGGGGCCGGCGGGCGUCAGCGGGCGAUCGUCUCUGUGGAUUAAAGGUGCGGUCAGAUGGCACCGCCUUUGGCAGACGACAGGUCUCGAGUCAGCGCUGGGAACUGAACGGCUGCCCGGUGAAGUGAGAACAAAGCAAUGUGGAUAUCCAAACCUCCGCUCGGCUCUGCCAUCAAACACGAUGGAAUAUUUCAGUUCCUGCAAUAGUUUCCAGCUCUCGUGAACACUGAAAAAUCUGUUUGCACAAAAAACAUUUCAGUUUCUUGGUGUAAAGUGAUGCUAAAGCGUUUUGGGUGGUUGCUAGGGGGAUGCGAGGCGGUUGCUAACGUGACUCCGGGUAUGAUGGUCGUUAACAAAAGUUACACUUCUACAGGUCAGAGAGAGAUGGCUAUACAGACAGAUGUUGGAGUGUGUUUAUAGGGCAGAACUCAGAGUUCUGGUGUAAUGAGAGUUUCACGUAAUUACUGAACAUUAGACGUCAUUAUACAGACAUUAAACCUCCGUCCUAAAGCUCACGAUGAAGCUGUAAUUAAACUCAACUCUUCCAGCUCCAAAUCCUUUUACAGACGAACACGACAAAACAGUCGCAGUGAGAAACAACUAUCAUCAUCUGAUCAACAAACAACAAUGCUCACUGUAGUAAAGCAAUCGUAAAUCAAGCAUGUUUUCACUACAAUAAACAGCUGAAAACAAAAGAACAGCAUGUAAUGGAUCAUAAAUCUGUAGUUACAUUAUAAUCAAUCUGCCACCUAGAAAUGUGUGCGUGUGCGUGCGUGUGUGGUAGCUGUGGGCAGAGGUGGUGUUAAUGUGGAGCUGAUCUGUGUCUGAACAUGCCGAAGAAAUGCCUUCGUUCCAUCAGAGCGUUACAUGCAGUCUGGAAAAUAAAAGC